CCUACGGGGGGCAGCAGUGAGGAAUAUUGGUCAAUUGACGAGAGUCUGAACCAGCCAAGUAGCGUGAAGGAUGACUGCCCUAUGGGUUGUAAACUUCUUUUAUAUGGGAAUAAAACGUUCCACGUGUGGGAUUUUGUAUGUACCAUAUGAAUAAGGAUCGGCUAACUCCGUGCCAGCAGCCGCGGUAAUACGGAGGAUCCGAGCGUUAUCCGGAUUUAUUGGGUUUAAAGGGAGCGUAGGUGGAUUGUUAAGUCAGUUGUGAAAGUUUGCGGCUCAACCGUAAAAUUGCAGUUGAAACUGGCAGUCUUGAGUACAGUAGAGGUGGGCGGAAUUCGUGGUGUAGCGGUGAAAUGCUUAGAUAUCACGAAGAACUCCGAUUGCGAAGGCAGUUCACUGGACUGCAACUGACACUGAGGCUCGAAAGUGUGGGUAUCAAACAGGAUUAGAUACCCGAGUAGUC
This 460-nucleotide ribosomal RNA is filed under the name uncultured bacterium. RNAcentral describes it as "partial 16S ribosomal RNA". It matches the Rfam family "Bacterial small subunit ribosomal RNA", at positions 338 to 795 of the family's 1533-position model. The record is from RNAcentral.